Molecule: ribosomal RNA, 555 nt
Filed under: uncultured archaeon
Lineage: Archaea
Description: bacterial SSU rRNA
Rfam family: Archaeal small subunit ribosomal RNA
Source: RNAcentral
ACGGGGUGCAGCAGGCGCGAAAACUCCACAAUGUACGACAGUACGAUGGGGUUAUCUCGAGUGCAGUCCGAUAAGGGCUGCUUUUCCAUAGAGUAAUAUCCUGUGGGAAUAAGAGGGGGGCAAGACUGGUGCCAGCCGCCGCGGUAACACCAGCGCCUCGAGUGGGGGUCGCGAUUAUUGGGUCUAAAGCGUCCGUAGCAGGCUUUGUAAAUACUUUGUGAAAUCGGCAGGCAUAACCUGUCGGCGUGCAGAGUACACUGCAGAGCUUGAGACCGGGAGAUGUCAGAAGUAUUCCUAGGGUACCGGUAAAAUGGGUUAAUCCUGGGAGGACUACCGAUGGCGAAGGCAUCUGACAAGAACGGUUCUGACUGUGAGGGACGAAAGCUAGGGGAGCAAAACGGAUUAGAUACCCGAGUAGUCCUAGCCGUAAACGCUGUGAGCAAGGUAUUGCGCCUCCCACGAGGAUGCGCAGUGUCGAAACGAAGGUGUUAAGCUCACCCACCAGGGAAGUACGGCCGCAAGGCUGAAACUUUUAGGAAUUGGCGGGGGAGCACA